AGCGAACGCUGGUGGCAUGCCUAACACAUGCAAGUCGAACGAGACCUUCGGGUCUAGUGGCGCACGGGUGCGUAACGCGUGGGAACCUGCCCUUAGGUUCGGAAUAACUCCCCGAAAGGGGUGCUAAUACCGGAUAAUGUCUUCGGACCAAAGAUUUAUCGCCUUUGGAUGGGCCCGCGUUGGAUUAGCUAGUUGGUAGGGUAAAAGCCUACCAAGGCGACGAUCCAUAGCUGGUCUGAGAGGAUGAUCAGCCACACUGGGACUGAGACACGGCCCAGACUCCUACGGGAGGCAGCAGUGGGGAAUAUUGGACAAUGGGCGAAAGCCUGAUCCAGCAAUGCCGCGUGAGUGAUGAAGGCCUUAGGGUUGUAAAGCUCUUUUACCCGGGAUGAUAAUGACAGUACCGGGAGAAUAAGCUCCGGCUAACUCCGUG
Molecule: ribosomal RNA, 433 nt
Filed under: uncultured bacterium
Lineage: Bacteria
Description: partial 16S ribosomal RNA
Rfam family: Bacterial small subunit ribosomal RNA
Source: RNAcentral